This 252-nucleotide ribosomal RNA is filed under the name uncultured bacterium. RNAcentral's name for it is "partial 16S ribosomal RNA". It matches the Rfam family "Bacterial small subunit ribosomal RNA", at positions 524 to 776 of the family's 1533-position model. The record is from RNAcentral.
UACAGAGGGUGCGAGCGUUAAUCGGAAUUACUGGGCGUAAAGCGCACGUAGGCGGCUUGGUAUGUCGGGUGUGAAAUCCCCGGGCUCAACCUGGGAACUGCAUCCGAAACUGCCUUGCUCGAGUAUGGGAGAGGGAAGUGGAAUUUCCGGUGUAGCGGUGAAAUGCGUAGAUAUCGGAGGAACAUCAGUGGCGAAGGCGACUUCCUGGACCAAUACUGACGCUCAGGUGCGAAAGCGUGGGGAGCAAACAGG